This is a long non-coding RNA of Mauremys mutica (yellowpond turtle), 1420 nucleotides long. RefSeq lists it as uncharacterized. The record is from RefSeq and is a predicted model, not a curated record. The transcript is spliced from 3 exons. Lineage: Eukaryota; Metazoa; Chordata; Testudines; Geoemydidae.
CAGUGAACAUCUUUUCCAUCUGAAAAUUUGGUUUAGUCAAAACUGCCAUUUUCGGCAGGGAAAAAGUUGAUGCCAAGAAAAAUGUUCAGUUUUCUGAAGCAGGUGUUCAAAGCCAAACCCCCAACGUUGCAUUUCGAACGGUCUUUCCCCUCCUCCCGUUGGAGUCCACCGUAAUUGGCAAGGUCGUUGUGGAAACCGAUCAGCAUUUCGACACCUCGUGUUUCAGAGGGGGCGAAAAUGUCGAAAUGUUUAAUGUCCUGAUUGAGAUCUUUUGCAACUUUUCAUGCCACAAUUUUUUUUUUGUUCUUGAAAAACUUCUACUUCACAUCCCGAUCCGGGACAAAAGCAGAUGUCGAAAUGGCCCUGUGCAAGGGAAACGUUGUUCCUGACUAACUCUCUUGGGUUCAGGCAGAUCACUCACCUCCGGGCUGUAAGAGCAGAAGAAGCAAAAGAAAAGAAGGUCGAAGAGGAGCCCCCUCCAUCCUGACAGCGUGGGGCAGCGGGCGUCGGAGAUCCUCACCAAACGGAGCCGGAGCCUGGAGCGGUUCGGACGGGGACGUCUGGCUGGCAGGACGAGCCUGGCUACCCUCUGUGGCUGAGGAUGGACUGCAAAGAAACGAAUCGCCCUGCGGCUCUGCAAUUUCUCCACCGGGAGAUGGGAUUUGGCAAGACCAGACCCCACUGGCUGUGAUGUGACUCAGCUCUUGGGGAAUUAGAAACUAUUAUCUGACAGCAGCACUGUGCCUCUGUUAUCUGCAAAAAGCCAAGAGUUUUCAGGUGCCCAAGUAGCCUCUGAAAGGUGCCCACCACCACCCCACCGAAAUCUGAAAUGGCACCGCUGUCUGUGCCACCAUUUCCUGCCCUGGAAUUCAGACAGAUCACUCACCGCCGGGCUGUGAAACCAGCAGGAGCAAGAGAAGGGAAGGCCGCAGAGCCCCCUCCAUCCUGGCAGCGAGGGGCAGGCAGAGCGGGCGGCCGUCAGUCCGUAUAACGGGUGUCCUGACCGAACAGAGCCGGAGCGGGUUAGACGGCAGAGUCUGGCUGAGUGGCCGAUCCCUGAUGGUGCCGAGGGGCUGCAGAGAAAUGACCCGCCCCACAGCUCUGCAACUUCCCCCACGAGACGCUCUUUCCUUUGUGGUAAGUGGCGCAAUGAGCUCAAAGCAGCCCAGGGUGCUGGGCUGGGGAAGGCUCCUCUGAUUGCUCAGGGCUGAAAGGGUCUGAACCAGACACGGCUCCUGCGAUACUGGAGGGUUCUGUCUAUUGCACCGGAGAGCCUGUCACGCUAGGAAUUCUGUUACCCGGGGCCCCUUGACACGGCUCUGGCAAUGGAAAGGGCCUUCGACAGGGCACCCAGUACAUUGACACCCACUGUCAGGGGCCUUUGCACAGCCAGGGGGGUAUGCCGGGGGCUUGGCGUGAA